CCGCAUGGUCUGGUGGUGGAAAGAUUUUUUGGUUGGGGAUGGACUCGCGGCCUAUCAGCUUGUUGGUGAGGUAAUGGCUCACCAAGGCGACGACGGGUAGCCGGCCUGAGAGGGUGACCGGCCACACUGGGACUGAGACACGGCCCAGACUCCUACGGGAGGCAGCAGUGGGGAAUAUUGCACAAUGGGCGAAAGCCUGAUGCAGCAACGCCGCGUGAGGGAUGACGGCCUUCGGGUUGUAAACCUCUUUUAGUAGGGAAAAGCGUAAGUGACGGUACCUGCAGAAAAAGCACCGGCUAACUACGUGCCAGCAGCCGCGGUAAUACGUAGGGUGCAAGCGUUGUCCGGAAUUAUUGGGCGUAAAGAGCUCGUAGGCGGUUUGUCGCGUCUGCUGUGAAAUCCCGAGGCUCAACCUCGGGCUUGCAGUGGGUACGGGCAGACUAGAGUGCGGUAGGGGAGAUUGGAAUUCCUGGUGUAGCGGUGGAAUGCGCAGAUAUCAGGAGGAACACCGAUGGCGAAGGCAGAUCUCUGGGCCGUAACUGACGCUGAGGAGCGAAAGCGUGGGGAGCGAACAGGAUUAGAUACCCUGGUAGUCCACGCCGUAAACGUUGGGCGCUAGAUGUAGGGACC
Molecule: ribosomal RNA, 630 nt
Filed under: Curtobacterium sp. ASRS8-1
Lineage: Bacteria; Bacillati; Actinomycetota; Actinomycetes; Micrococcales; Microbacteriaceae
Description: bacterial SSU rRNA
Rfam family: Bacterial small subunit ribosomal RNA
Source: RNAcentral